This 226-nucleotide ribosomal RNA is filed under the name uncultured bacterium. Its description in RNAcentral is "partial 16S ribosomal RNA". It matches the Rfam family "Bacterial small subunit ribosomal RNA", at positions 99 to 334 of the family's 1533-position model. The record is from RNAcentral.
CGGACGGGUGAGUAACACGUGAGAAUUUGCCUUUAGGAGGGGGAUAACAAUUGGAAACGAAUGCUAAUACCCUAUAUGCUUUCGAGUGAAAUGGAUUUAUAUUUAUCCGCCUAGAGAGAAGCUCGCGGCUGAUUAGCUUGUUGGUAAGGUAAGAGCUUACCAAGGCGACGAUCAGUAUCUGGUUUGAGAGGACGAUCAGACACACUGGAACUGAGACACGGUCCAG